Molecule: ribosomal RNA, 301 nt
Filed under: uncultured bacterium
Lineage: Bacteria
Description: partial 16S ribosomal RNA
Rfam family: Bacterial small subunit ribosomal RNA
Source: RNAcentral
CAGUAGCCACGGGAAUACGUAGGUGGCAAGCGUUGUCCGGAAUUAUUGGGCGUAAAGGGCUCGCAGGCGGUUUCUUAAGUCUGAUGUGAAAGCCCCCGGCUCAACCGGGGAGGGUCAUUGGAAACUGGGAAACUUGAGUGCAGAAGAGGAGAGUGGAAUUCCACGUGUAGCGGUGAAAUGCGUAGAGAUGUGGAGGAACACCAGUGGCGAAGGCGACUCUCUGGUCUGUAACUGACGCUGAGGAGCGAAAGCGUGGGGAGCGAACAGGAUUAGAUACCCCUGUAGUCCCUGUCUCUUAUAC